This 465-nucleotide ribosomal RNA is filed under the name uncultured bacterium. RNAcentral describes it as "partial 16S ribosomal RNA". It matches the Rfam family "Bacterial small subunit ribosomal RNA", at positions 28 to 507 of the family's 1533-position model. The record is from RNAcentral.
GACGAACGCUGGCGGCGUGCUUAACACAUGCAAGUCGAACGGAAAGGCCCUGCUUGCAGGGUCCUCGAGUGGCGAACGGGUGAGUAACACGUGGGUGAUCUGCCCUGCACUUCGGGAUAAGCUUGGGAAACUGGGUCUAAUACCGGAUAGGAACCAUCUUUAGUGUGGUGGUUGGAAAGUUUUUUCGGUGUAGGAUGAGCUCGCGGCCUAUCAGCUUGUUGGGGGGGUAAUGGCCUACCAAGGCGGCGACGGGUAGCCGGCCUGAGAGGGUGUACGGCGACAUUGGGACGGAGAGACGGCCCAGACGCCGACGGGAGGAAGAAGGGGGGAAGAGUGAACAAGGGGCGCAAGCCGGAUGAAGAGGGGCCGCGUGGGGGAUGAAGGCUUUGGGGUUGAAAACACCGUUCGCUAGGGAAGAAGCUUUUUGUGACGGUACCUAGAUAAGAAGCACCGGCUAACUACGUG